Molecule: long non-coding RNA, 320 nt
Organism: Chelmon rostratus (copperband butterflyfish)
Lineage: Eukaryota; Metazoa; Chordata; Actinopteri; Chaetodontiformes; Chaetodontidae
Exons: 3
Source: RefSeq, a predicted model, not a curated record
UGGUGUGUCCAGCUGCGUUGGAUUUACUCCGCGUAAAUAGCACUCCGCUCUCCGUGGUGCACUGGUGGCGUGUGUGGACACCUGGUCAGCUGUAGCAAAUUACAGCUGCGGUUGGGAACCUCGCGCUGCUCUGUGGUGUCUCCGCUGUGCGUAAAGGCCGCCGUUUGCGUGGUCUUGUGGCAUUUGAUGUUCGGGUAAGUGGCAUGUCUCUCUCUUUGACCCAUUGGGCUGUACCCAGCCAGUCUAAUGCUCUCUCUUCUUUGUGUAGUGUGGUGGUUUCUUGUGCGUGGUAACACACACGUUUAUUCGGAGGCUGAGAG